AGUAAGUGGAUCGCUCUGCUCACGAAGCGCACCCGUAUUGGAAAUCUGAAUCGCCCUGGGAUCCUAGAAGUCAUCACAAACUGGAGGAUACGAUCCAGGAG
Molecule: long non-coding RNA, 101 nt
Organism: Neopelma chrysocephalum (saffron-crested tyrant-manakin)
Lineage: Eukaryota; Metazoa; Chordata; Aves; Passeriformes; Pipridae
Exons: 3
Source: RefSeq, a predicted model, not a curated record